GAUAGAGUUAGUUUUUAUAAUUCAUUUGUGUGUGUAUGUGUGUGUGUUUAUGUGUAUAAAUUUAUAUACAUACACAUGUACGUACAUGUAAUUAUUUGUUUUUGUCUCUGCCUUUCAUUGCACAAUGCUGGCCAAUUUUCAUUUCUUUUUAAUUGAAAUAAAUGUAAUGAACUCCAUUCAAUGUCUUUCUUUUGUAGCAUUUCUUGGUUGAUUCUUUGUUUAUUUGUUUUUAAUGAACUCCUAAUGAUAUUACUUUGUCUUUAAACAUGUUAACUACUAUAAGUAUCUUUCCUUUUCAAAGAGAUAAAAAAAUUGGUUUUGUAUUAUAAACAAGAAUCUAACAAGCAUACUCAAAUAUUUUGUCGAAUUGCCAGGUUUUGAAGCAAUCAUCGUUUGAAGUUGUUUUAAACAUUGACAUAUUAUUGAUCCAAAUAAACACUAUCACAAUGUAUAUAACAAUGCAAAAUUGUAGAA
Molecule: long non-coding RNA, 474 nt
Filed under: Physcomitrium patens
Lineage: Eukaryota; Viridiplantae; Streptophyta; Bryopsida; Funariales; Funariaceae
Description: long non-coding RNA (PPAT_LNC005338)
Source: RNAcentral